This 394-nucleotide ribosomal RNA is filed under the name uncultured bacterium. RNAcentral's name for it is "bacterial SSU rRNA". It matches the Rfam family "Bacterial small subunit ribosomal RNA", at positions 775 to 1174 of the family's 1533-position model. The record is from RNAcentral.
GGAUUAGAUACCCCGGUAGUCCACGCCCUAAACGAUGUCUACUAGUUGUCGGGGAUUAAUUUCCUUGGUAACGCAGCUAACGCGGGAAGUAGACCGCCUGGGGAGUACGGUCGCAAGAUUAAAACUCAAAGGAAUUGACGGGGACCCGCACAAGCGGUGGAUGAUGUGGAUUAAUUCGAUGCAACGCGAAAAACCUUACCUACGCUUGACAUGUCUGGAAUCCUGUAGAGAUGCGGGAGUGCUCGAAAGAGAGCCAGAACACAGGUGCUGCAUGGCUGUCGUCAGCCCGUGUCGUGAGAUGUUGGGUUAAGUCCCGCAACGAGCGCAACCCUUAUCAUUAGUUGCUACGGAAGGGCACUCUAGUGAGACUGCCGGUGACAAACCGGAGGAAGGU